This 305-nucleotide ribosomal RNA is filed under the name uncultured bacterium. Its description in RNAcentral is "bacterial SSU rRNA". It matches the Rfam family "Bacterial small subunit ribosomal RNA", at positions 335 to 637 of the family's 1533-position model. The record is from RNAcentral.
AUCCUACGGGGGGCAGCAGUGAGGAAUAUUGGUCAAUGGGCGCGAGCCUGAACCAGCCAAGUCGCGUGAGGGAAGACGGUCCUAUGGAUUGUAAACCUCUUUUGUCGGGGAGCAAAAGACGCCACGCGUGGCGUUCCGAGAGUACCCGAAGAAAAAGCAUCGGCUAACUAUGUGCCAGCAGCCGCGGUAAUACAUAGGGAGCAAGCGUUAUCCGGAUUUAUUGGGUGUAAAGGGGUGCGUAGACGGGAAAUUAAGUUAGUUGUGAAAUCCCUCGGCUUAACUGAGGAACUGCAACUAAAACUGAU